This 484-nucleotide ribosomal RNA is filed under the name uncultured bacterium. RNAcentral describes it as "partial 16S ribosomal RNA". It matches the Rfam family "Bacterial small subunit ribosomal RNA", at positions 30 to 507 of the family's 1533-position model. The record is from RNAcentral.
AUUGAACGCUGGCGGCAGGCCUAACACAUGCAAGUCGAGCGGAUGAAGCGAGCUUGCUCCUGGAUUCAGCGGCGGACGGGUGAGUAAUGCCUAGGAAUCUGCCUGGUAGUGGGGGAUAACGUCCGGAAACGGGCGCUAAUACCGCAUACGUCCUGAGGGAGAAAGUGGGGGAUCUUCGGACCUCACGCCAUCAGAUGAGCCUAGGUCGGAUUAGCUAGUUGGUGGGGUAAAGGCCUACCAAGGCGACGAUCCGUAACUGGUCUGAGAGGAUGAUCAGUCACACUGGAACUGAGGCACGGUCCAGACUCCUACAGGAGGCAGCAGUGGGGAAUAUUGGGCGAUGGGCGAAAGCCUGAUCCAGCCAUGCCGCGUGUGUGAAGAAGGUCUUCGGAUUGUAAAGCACUUUAAGUUGGGAGGAAGGACAGUAAGUUAAUACCUUGCUGUUUUGACGUUACCAACAGAAUAAGCACCGGCUAACUUCGUG